Molecule: long non-coding RNA, 709 nt
Organism: Solea senegalensis (Senegalese sole)
Lineage: Eukaryota; Metazoa; Chordata; Actinopteri; Pleuronectiformes; Soleidae
Exons: 6
Source: RefSeq, a predicted model, not a curated record
AAGCUGCGGCGUCUUCCCUGGAAUGUUGACGACGUCAAAGGAAAACCUUAAAGACGUCUCCAGGAAAACAAGAAGAUAAUGUUGUUUGUGGGGAAUUCCCUAAAGAGAGUUAGAGACGGCAGAAACGAGCUUGCAUAGGAGGCUGUGCAUGAAGUGUGUUUGCUGAGUUCAAACUCCAAACAAAAGAAGACAAAGAUGAUAAGAGAGAUGGCAGAAACGAGCUUCUAUAGGAGGAUGUGCAUGAAGUGUUUGCUGUGUUCAAACUCCAAACAAAAGAAGACGAUUUAACAUUCACAAUGUCUGUGUGUGACGGCCUACAUGUAACCUGUGAUGAAGAUGACUAAUAGGUGAGAAGACUGAAGUCCCCUGACCUGAGCAUGACUCCGCCCAUCCUGAUGGCUCUCUUCCAGUCUUUCAGAGUGGCCUUUCCAGAGAUGUGCACAAACUGCUUGGGGCUGAUGAGCUGGUCUUCAUACUGGAGCAGAGAGUGUGGGUUCAGUGACUGUGACCGAGAAUGAACAGACAAACCAGCAUUUCAUGCUUUGAGUUGGAGCUUUACUGCAUAAAUGAAGGCGAACAACAACCUUUCUGGCAUCUGUAGGCCACCGUAGCUUCCCUAAACUGUUGAGAGGUGAAAUGAUGAGAGUGUUCACUAUUAUUUACAGUAGUACAGUCAUUAUGGGGUGGCAGGCAAAGCAAACGUGGACAG